RNAcentral lists this long non-coding RNA (1479 nucleotides) under Monodelphis domestica (gray short-tailed opossum). Its description in RNAcentral is "lncRNA (ENSMODG00000039298.1)". The record is from RNAcentral. Lineage: Eukaryota; Metazoa; Chordata; Mammalia; Didelphimorphia; Didelphidae.
AGAGCGGCCUAGCAGGCUCUCGAGAGUGAGGGAGGCACUGGGGCCCCUGCCGACUGCCCUGGCUGAGCCAGCCCGGCGUGAACGAAAGCCCGCCCCUGAGACCCCGUGACCCGGCGGCUCCUAGCCACAGGCUUCCUGACUACCUUAUAGGCACCCAGUCACAGUCAGCGCUAGCUCUGUCAAUCACCGUGGGCACCCAAUCAUCACGUGCUCCCAGUGCCUGUGGGACUCCUUGACAGCACGGGCUCCUGGACACCAUGUGCUUCCUAUCACCGUGGCUCCUGAACCACGUGCACCUGAUCACCCCAGGCUUGAGCUUCCUACCAGCUUUUGGACUCUCCUCUUUUACCCUCAUCAAAAGUGUAAGAGCAGGAUGGAAAGGGAAAAGAUGGAAUAUUGGAAGAAGAGUUGAUGGAUGGGCAAUGACUGUUGGUAGCAGAGGAUUUUGGGAGAGAAGAACUGAGCUGGAGGAGCUCUGAAAGGAACUCGGGGCUUUUGGAGCUGAGAUCUCAAGGUGGCAGGAAGCAUUUUCCUUGCUGGAAAUCUUAUCAGGAGCCAACAGAAGAUUUUCAAGGGUCUUGCCCUGGGACUUCAUCAGAAGAGUGAUUCAACAUCUUAAUAUCUCUACAACAUCUAUAAAGAGAUUUUGGUUACUUCAGACCCGUGAGGAUCUUGGAUUCUUGGUCCAAAGGUCAGACUUUCUCUCCCUGUCUACUGCAACUGCUAUACUAUUCCUUGACUUUCAAUAUUUGGUUUAGCGUGAGAAAUAACGGGAAGGGUAGGUGAAACUCUGUCUGGCUUUGAAGCUGACAGAAUGAAGGACCUAUAGGGAUAUGGAAAAUAGGGACCCCUCUCUCCUCUAUACCCAAUAUCUAUUAAAACAAUUUCAUCACAGUCAUAUAUCAGCAAAGAGGAAUUAUUCAAAGGAGCUUAGAAAAAGCAAUGCAUAGAGGCUACUGAUCAGCCAUAGCUGAGUUUGAUCUAGACCGCUCCCCCACAGACUUCAGACUUAGGGGAGGCUUAUCUCCCUAGCCGGUUCAUGCACAGGAAUUUGGGGGUACCUUUUCUAUGAGCUUAUAGGGGAGACUUGCCUUCAACUCCCUAUCACCUACUUUCUACCAGGGAACCCCAUAUUCCUACGUUACACCCCUAGUAUCAAGACCCAGGGAGAGUAUGUGAGCGUGCUCAGUAGGAGUCAAUCCACCUAGACUUUGAUAGAGGCUGGCACUAGAGAAAAAGUGCCAAGCUGAAGAGUAUGUGAAAUUGAUCACCUCGAUGGGGGAGGGGCCCCAGGAGUAGAAGCCGGAUGCAGCCUCUGGCUGGUAGAGCAGUGAGGCUCUCUCAGUCUUGAGAAGGUGGGAAAAAGACUUUCUCCUGAGGGUUGACUGGAAAUCUUUCCCCCCUAACACUUCCCAAUUGAAGGGACUUCUGAAGAGAAACCUGAGCAGAUUUUACCUCAGCUCCUGUUGCCCAGGGGUG